Nycticebus coucang (slow loris) is the source of this 1680-nucleotide long non-coding RNA. RefSeq lists it as uncharacterized. The record is from RefSeq and is a predicted model, not a curated record. The transcript has 3 exons. Lineage: Eukaryota; Metazoa; Chordata; Mammalia; Primates; Lorisidae.
UCUCACUCUGGAAGCAUACCUGGGAGUUCCCGUAGAAGACAGUUCUUGGAGCUGAAGAUGGACGUUGUGUUCCUGGUGAGGGCCCUCCUCUGGGUUCAGGCAGCUAUUCUGUCUUCACAUGGAAAAGAGAGAGAGAGAACUUGUGCAGAAGAAACCAAUGCAAGGAUUGAGAGCUAACCCGAGUGGGAAUGGUGGGAAGUGAGGAUGCAAGACGCACAAAACACACAAGAGACAAAGAAUAGGGUGGGGCCGAGAGGGCUGACACAGCUGACGACUGCAGCCAGCAUGGAACCAAACAGGGGAAACAGCUUUAUUUGUACAAUAUCUUAACAAAGUUGCUAAACAAUGUAAAUCUUAGCACAUGGGGAUCAACCUUAUAGAGGAAAAACUGUGUGCUGUCUGAUAAUAAGAAAAAAAAAAUACCUUUCUUGGGCCAAGGUUGCUAAACAAUGUAAAUCUUAGCACAUGGGGAUCAAUCUUAUAGAGGAAAACCUGUGUGCUGUCUGCUAAUAAGAAAAAAAAAAAUACCUUUCUUGGGCAGCACCUGUGGCUCAGUGAGUAGGGCGCCAGCCCCAUAUACAGAGGGUGAUGGGUUCAAACCCAGCUCUGGCCAAACUGCAACAAAAAAAUAGCUGGGCGUUGUGGCAGGUGCCUGUAGCCCCAGCUGAGGCAAGAGAAUCACCUAAACCCAGGAAUUGGAGGUUGCAGUGAGCUGUGAUGUCAUAACACUCUACAGAGGGUGAUAAAGUGAGACAUGUUUAAAAAAAAAAAAAGUAUUCAUGGGCUACAUGACUUCUUGCAGUGAAAAGAAUGUUGUUUAUAGGAAGAGAAGUAGUUGGGGGUCACUCCCUGAGCAUUUCUCGCCUGACAGCCCAUUCCCCACAUAUCUUCCUUUUCAAUUUUAUUUUUUCCAAUUUGUGAAUAAACGUUUUUUACUUGGAGGAUGUUUGACUCUGACUCUGCAGAAGACAAAAAUGUCAUUAGCCAAUUGGGCAGGACUACAAAUGUCCAAAUACGACCCAGGCGUAACAAACAUGACAAGUAACAGUAGCCAUCAAUGCAGUCUCAAGGGUGACUAGCCGCCAUAACGUUUGUACAAGGUCAGUUCAGCUUAUCCCCAGUUGAGGGGCUUCGCUUUCUGUGAAGUCUCGACAUGGGGGUCAGCCUCCCCAUUGGCAGCACAAGAAGUUCUUCUGGCUCUAUGUCAAGGAGCCAACAGGCUGUCAGCUGUUCUAAGAAAAACACAAACACAACUUCUUCCCUGGAGAGAGACAAGCUUUAGCAACAGAUAACAGACUCCAUUAAAUCCAUUGUUUUGUUAAUGACUGUAAGAUCUUGUAGAAGAUACCACUUUUCUUUUUUCUCCAAGCUUAUAAGCCUGAGUCUCUUCACUAAUAACAUAUCUUACAAUAAAAGGAAUGCUAUUUUGUCUGUUUCUUUCUGCCUGCUUGGCAGUCCAUUUGGACCAUUCUUAUUUACAUAACAAAUCAUUAGUACAAGAGAGCCUCCUUACUUAAAGUAUCUGUUUUAACUCCUUAAAGAUUUUGAAAGAAAGUGGUGAAUAUUCCCUAAUGGCCGUCUUGUUGAUCUGUAGUUUCUAGUACUGGGAAAUAAGAAAAGCCAUCUAGAUCUCCCCCUUGGUUAUAAGCUUGUGCGAGGGUUUUUUUGUAAUGAAGAUGU